AGAGUUUGAUCCUGGCUCAGGAUGAACGCUGGCGGUCUGCUUAACACAUGCAAGUCGAACGGAGUGCUUCGGCACUUAGUGGCGGACGGGUGAGUAACGCGUGAGAAUCUGCCCUUAGGACGGGGACAACAGCUGGAAACGGCUGCUAAUACCCGAUGUGCCGAGAGGUGAAACAUUUUAUGGCCUGAGGAUGAGCUCGCGUCUGAUUAGCUAGUUGGUGGGGUAAGAGCCUACCAAGGCGACGAUCAGUAGCUGGUCUGAGAGGAUGAUCAGCCACACUGGGACUGAGACACGGCCCAGACUCCUACGGGAGGCAGCAGUGGGGAAUUUUCCGCAAUGGGCGCAAGCCUGACGGAGCAAGACCGCGUGCGGGAGGACGGCCUAUUGGUUGUAAACCGCUUUUGAUAGGGAAGAAGUACUGACGG
Molecule: ribosomal RNA, 425 nt
Filed under: uncultured bacterium
Lineage: Bacteria
Description: bacterial SSU rRNA
Rfam family: Bacterial small subunit ribosomal RNA
Source: RNAcentral